Homo sapiens (human) is the source of this 427-nucleotide long non-coding RNA. The record is from Ensembl. NCBI's taxonomy places the organism in Eukaryota, Metazoa, Chordata, Mammalia, Primates, Hominidae.
AUUGGACGGUGUCAUGGAAAUGUCAAAGAAAAAGUGACACCUGAGAGAAAAUUUGAAAGAUGAAAGCAGAUGCACUAAAGAGGCCAAUCAGUCAUCCAGACAAGAAUUUACCUCAUGAGAGUCAACUGUGCGCAUCUCUUCCCAACAUUGUGAUUGGUUAUGUCAUGUUGAUAGCUUGAAAUUGGACAUAGUAUGUACAUUUACACCCCAGAAAUCUCAGGUACUACAAACUAAACCUUCCCUUCUCUCAUUCCCCAGUGCUGUUAAUACGGAAACUGGUCUAAUAUGGAAAACAGGUGAACAUGGAGCUGCUUUGUUUGACUCAGGGAUGAGAGAUACCCAGGUCCUAAUUACUUGUCUUUAACUUUCCUUAGGGAGUACUAAUUUGGGAGUCAUUGUUCUAAACAAUUAAAGUGAAGUAACUGUC